Molecule: ribosomal RNA, 650 nt
Filed under: uncultured bacterium
Lineage: Bacteria
Description: bacterial SSU rRNA
Rfam family: Bacterial small subunit ribosomal RNA
Source: RNAcentral
AAGGCUAAAACUCAAAGGAAUGACGGGGGCCCGCACAACGCGGAGCAUCGGAUUAAUUCGAUGCAACGCGAAGAACCUUACCAAGGCUUGACAUACACUAGACCGGCCUGGAAACAGGUCCUCCUCUUUGAGGUUGGUGUACAGGUGGUGCAUGGUUGUCGUCAGCUCGUGUCGUGAGAUGUUGGGUUAAGUCCCGCAACGAGCGCAACCCUCGUUCUAUGUUGCCAGCACGUAAUGGUGGGAACUCAUAGGAGACUGCCGGGGUCAACUCGGAGGAAGGUGGGGAUGACGUCAAAUCAUCAUGCCCUUUAUGUCUUGGGCUUCACGCAUGCUACAAUGGCUGGUACAGAGAGAUGCGAGACCGCGAGGUUUUAGCGAAUCCCUUAAAGCCAGUCUCAGUUCGGAUCGUAGUCUGCAAUUCGACUACGUGAAGUCGGAGUCGCUAGUAAUCGCAGAUCAGCAACGCUGCGGUGAAUACGUUCCCGGGCCUUGUACACACCGCCCGUCAAGUCACGAAAGUCGGUAACACCCGAAGCCGGUGGCCCAACCCCCUUGUGGGGAGGGGGCCGUCUAAGGUGGGACUGGCACAUUGGGACUAAGUCGUAACAAGGUAGCCGUACCGGAAGGUGCGGCUGGAUCACCUCCUUAAU